Molecule: ribosomal RNA, 216 nt
Filed under: Glomeromycotina sp.
Lineage: Eukaryota; Fungi; Glomeromycota
Description: partial small subunit ribosomal RNA
Rfam family: Eukaryotic small subunit ribosomal RNA (bases 40-216)
Source: RNAcentral
GGGUCAGUAGGUUGGCCCUGCCACCGGUACGUACUGGUCUCACUGAUUCCUCCUUCCUGACGAACCGUAAUGCCAUUAAUUUGGUGUUGCGGGGAAACAGGACUGUUACUUUGAAAAAAUUAGAGUGUAUAAAGCAAGCUAACGCUUGAAUACAUUAGCAUGGAAUAAUGAAAUAGGACGAUCGAUCCUAUUUUGUUGGUUUCUAGGAUUGACGUA